GCACCGGCCAGCUAGCCCCUUUGUGCGGCGGGGGCUGCGGAGUGCUCCCUCCAAGACCGGUUGCACCCCGCUUUCCUGGCCAGGACUCUGGGCGCGGUUGGAGGCAUCUGUCCACCCAUGUGGUUCCAGACACGUUCAUGUGGCCACCAUGACCCCGUCGGCAUCACAGGGGUAACCAAGGUGAUCCUCCCUCUCUUCCUGUGUCCACUGGGGAUGGUAGAGACCAGCUUAAUGCUUUGAGAUCAGAUCCAUCACGAAAUCCGUAUGUCCUGAGACCUCCUGAAUCUUAAGAGAGCAGCAAGUUCCUGGGACAGAGGAGACAGAAGGGAAUUUCCAGGUUCUUCAGGACGUUCACAACCACACUGAGAAGCAUCUUUGCAGAUAAGUAUUUAAACUUACCAGCCCAUAGCCUACCAGCCUGCCCUCUUCUGGUCUGUGCAGGAAAGUGUAGUAUCCUAGAAUGCCAAAGUGGGAGGGGAAAUGGGUGAUGUAGCUCAUUCUCUUUUCUACCUCUAUGGAAGAAAGAAAGAGCCUGUCCCCAUUUUGUGGGGUCCCAGAAAGGGUGAUUUUCACACU
Molecule: long non-coding RNA, 576 nt
Filed under: Homo sapiens (human)
Lineage: Eukaryota; Metazoa; Chordata; Mammalia; Primates; Hominidae
Description: non-protein coding lnc-CRYBA4-52:19
Source: RNAcentral